CUGCUGAGAAAAGAUCAAUGGCAUGUAAAGCAGUCCAAGUGUGCAUUUGGCCAACAACAAAUCACUUAUUUGGGUCAUGUUAUCAAUGCUGAUGGUGUUUCCACGGAUCCCAGCAAGAUCGACACGAUUAAACAAUGGCCAAUUCCGGGGAGCGUGAAGGAAGUACGCAGUUUUCUGGGUUUAGCAGGCUACUACCGGAAGUUUGUGAAACAUUUCGGUAUUAUCGCACGCCCCCUUUUUAAUCUUCUCAAAAAGGGGCACCCGUUUGUCUGGACAGAAGAAACACAAACUGCUUUCCAUCUGCUCAAACAAGGCUUGAUAUCAGCUCCAGUGUUGCAGUUACCCGACUUCUCCAAACCAUUUGUGAUUGAUACUGACGCCUGUGAUUAUGGAGUCGGCGCUGUGCUGCAGCAGGGGGGCACCUGA
RNAcentral lists this ribosomal RNA (426 nucleotides) under Triticum aestivum (bread wheat). RNAcentral describes it as "partial small subunit ribosomal RNA". The record is from RNAcentral. Lineage: Eukaryota; Viridiplantae; Streptophyta; Magnoliopsida; Poales; Poaceae.